GACGAACGCUGGCGGCGUGCCUAAUACAUGCAAGUAGAACGCACAGUUUAUACCGUAGCUUGCUACACCAUAGACUGUGAGUUGCGAACGGGUGAGUAACGCGUAGGUAACCUGCCUGGUAGCGGGGGAUAACUAUUGGAAACGAUAGCUAAUACCGCAUAAUAUUAAUUAUUGCAUGAUAAUUAAUUGAAAGGUGCAAUUGUACCACUACCAGAUGGACCUGCGUUGUAUUAGCUAGUAGGUGAGGUAACGGCUCACCUAGGCGACGAUACAUAGCCGACCUGAGAGGGUGAUCGGCCACACUGGGACUGAGACACGGCCCAGACUCCUACGGGAGGCAGCAGUAGGGAAUCUUCGGCAAUGGACGAAAGUCUGACCGAGCAACGCCGCGUGAGUGAAGAAGGUUUUCGGAUCGUAAAGCUCUGUUGUAAGAGAAGAACGGGUGUGAGAGUGGAAAGUUCACACUGUGACGGUAUCUUACCAGAAAGAGACGGCUAACUACGUG
This 505-nucleotide ribosomal RNA is filed under the name uncultured bacterium. RNAcentral's name for it is "partial 16S ribosomal RNA". It matches the Rfam family "Bacterial small subunit ribosomal RNA", at positions 28 to 507 of the family's 1533-position model. The record is from RNAcentral.